AUUGAACGCUGGCGGAAUGCUUUACACAUGCAAGUCGAGCGGCAGCGCGGGGCAACCUGGCGGCGAGCGGCGAACGGGUGAGUAAUACAUCGGAACGUGCCCAGACGUGGGGGGAUAACUACUCGAAAGAGUGGCUAAUACCGCAUACGAUCUAAGGAUGAAAGCGGGGGAUCGCAAGACCUCGCGCGUUUGGAGCGGCCGAUGGCAGAUUAGGUAGUUGGUGGGGUAAAGGCUUACCAAGCCCGCGAUCUGUAGCUGGUCUGAGAGGAUGAUCAGCCACACUGGGACUGAGACACGGCCCAGACUCCUACGGGAGGCAGCAGUGGGGAAUUUUGGACAAUGGGCGAAAGCCUGAUCCAGCCAUUCCGCGUGCAGGAUGAAGGCCCUCGGGUUGUAAACUGCUUUUGUACAGAACGAAAAAGACUCUUUCUAAUACAGAGAGUCCAUGACGGUACUGUAAGAAUAAGCACCGGCUAACUACGUGCCAGCAGCCGCGGUAA
RNAcentral lists this ribosomal RNA (500 nucleotides) under uncultured bacterium. RNAcentral describes it as "bacterial SSU rRNA". It matches the Rfam family "Bacterial small subunit ribosomal RNA", at positions 30 to 523 of the family's 1533-position model. The record is from RNAcentral.